RNAcentral lists this transfer RNA (76 nucleotides) under subsurface metagenome. RNAcentral's name for it is "tRNA-Thr". It matches the Rfam family "tRNA". Rfam says of the family: Transfer RNA (tRNA) molecules are approximately 80 nucleotides in length. Their secondary structure includes four short double-helical elements and three loops (D, anti-codon, and T loops). The record is from RNAcentral.
GCUGGUGUAGCUCAACUGGCAGAGCAGCUGAUUUGUAAUCAGCAGGUUGGGGGUUCGAGUCCCUCCGCCAGCUCCA